This 483-nucleotide ribosomal RNA is filed under the name uncultured bacterium. RNAcentral describes it as "partial 16S ribosomal RNA". It matches the Rfam family "Bacterial small subunit ribosomal RNA", at positions 28 to 507 of the family's 1533-position model. The record is from RNAcentral.
GACGAACGCUGGCGGCGUGCUUAACACAUGCAAGUCGAACGCGGAAGCUCAGCUUUUGUUGGGUGGAUGAGUGGCGAACGGGUGAGUAACACGUGAGUAACCUGCCCCCUUCUUUGGGAUAACUCCAGGAAACGGGUGCUAAUACUGGAUAUUCAAUGGUCUUUGCGUGGGGGUGGGUGGAAAGGGCUGUUUUGGUGGGGGAUGGGCUCGGGGCCGAUCAGCUUGUUGGUGGGGUUAUGGCCUUGCUAGGCUUGGACGGGUGGGCGGCGUGAGAGGGUGACCGGGCAAAUAGGGACAGCGAUCAGGCCCAGACUCAGACGGGGGGCAGACGCGGAGGAUAGUGCACAAUGGGCGAUAGUGUAAUGCAGCGACGCCGCGGAAGGGACGACGGCGCGUGAGUGGUGAACCUCUUUCGCACAUGGUCUAGUAUCAACAAUGAUGGUAGUGAGGGUACUGGAUAAAGAAGCGCCGGCUAACUACGUG